RNAcentral lists this unclassified non-coding RNA (214 nucleotides) under soil metagenome. Its description in RNAcentral is "partial internal transcribed spacer 1". The record is from RNAcentral.
ACGAAUUACCAUUCGGUCUUCUGUGCUGGUGGCAACACAUGUGCACGUCGAUCGUAAUUCCAUUCUCCUUUCAAUCGUCCAAGUGUGUUUGGUCGGCCCUCUGCGGUCGAAGAAUCCUGUCGCCGUCAGGCUCUCGAUUCGUUCCGAAUGCACCUUGGUUUUUCACCCACUCUGGGUACUAGAAACAAAGAAAACAAACCGUAUAUAAACUAUA